AGCGAACGCUGGCGGCAGGCUUAACACAUGCAAGUCGAGCGGGCAUCCUUGUGGUGUCAGCGGCAGACGGGUGAGUAACGCGUGGGAACGUGCCCUUCGGUUCGGAAUAACUCAGGGAAACUUGAGCUAAUACCGGAUACGUGCGAGAGCAGAAAGGUUUAUCUGCCGAAGGAUCGGCCCGCGUCUGAUUAGCUAGUUGGUGAGGUUAUGGCUCACCAAGGCGACGAUCAGUAGCUGGUCUGAGAGGAUGAUCAGCCACACUGGGACUGAGACACGGCCCAGACUCCUACGGGAGGCAGCAGUGGGGAAUAUUGGAAAAUGGGGGCAACCCUGAACCAGCCAUGCCGCGUGAGUGAUGACGGCCUUAGGGUUGUAAAGCUCUUUUCUUCGGGACGAUAAUGACGGUACCGGAGGAAUAAGCCCCGGCUAACUUCGUG
Molecule: ribosomal RNA, 437 nt
Filed under: uncultured bacterium
Lineage: Bacteria
Description: partial 16S ribosomal RNA
Rfam family: Bacterial small subunit ribosomal RNA
Source: RNAcentral